Molecule: transfer RNA, 89 nt
Filed under: Nocardiopsis terrae
Lineage: Bacteria; Bacillati; Actinomycetota; Actinomycetes; Streptosporangiales; Nocardiopsidaceae
Description: tRNA-Ser
Source: RNAcentral
UCGGCGGGGUGACGCGGGGUACGGGGCCGCUGGACCUGGCCGACCUGCACGCCGGAGGGGUGGUGGCCUUCCAGGGGUCGCUGUCGGAC